UGGUCAUGUCUAGACAGAGAAAUACACUGG
Molecule: non-coding RNA, 30 nt
Filed under: Homo sapiens (human)
Lineage: Eukaryota; Metazoa; Chordata; Mammalia; Primates; Hominidae
Source: RNAcentral